AUGCUGAACCUGUGCCGUGUCCUCGCCGCCCGGGGCGGCGUGUCCUCCACCAUCGUCGUCACCGAGGAGUGGCUCGGCCUGCUCGGCGGCGGGCCCGCGCCGUCGGGCGUCCGCCUGGAGGCCAUCCCCAACGUCGCCCCCUCCGAGCACGGCCGCGCCGCCGACAUGGUCGGGUUCGUCGAGGCCGUGUACACCCGGAUGGAGGCUCCCUUCGAGCACCUCCUCGACCGGCUCGGGGCCGCGCCCGCGGCCAUCGUCGCCGACACGUUCGUGCCCUGGGCGGUGCGCGUCGGCGACCGGAGGGGCGUCCCGGUGUGCGUCCUCUCGCCGCUCAGCGUCACCAUGUUCUCCGUGCAGUACCACUUCCACCGCCUGCCCGUGGCCGCCGACGGUACCGCUUCUCCGGUGUCUGACAACUCAGAUGGCAAGGAUUCUUGUCUGAUUGAGAGCUACAUUCCUGGCCUGAAGUCAAUCAGGUUAGCCGAUCUUGAGCCCACACACUCCAACAAGGUAGUGCUGAACCAGGUCCUUGAAGCACAGUGUGUCAUCUUCACCUCCUUCUACGAGCUCGAGAGCGACGCCAUUGACUCCCUAAGGCGAGAGCUCCGCUGCCCCGUGUUCGCCGUUGGCCUUUGCAUCCCCUUCAUGGUACUCCAAGAACACAAUGCCAGUUCUUCACAAGAGCAAGGCUACAUGGCUUGGCUGGACACGCAGCCGGUGAACUCAGUGUUGUAUGUCUCACUCGGCAGCUACCUCUCGGUGUCGUCCGCUCAGCUCGACGAGAUCGCCGUUGGCCUGGCCCAGAGCAAUGUCAGGUUCCUGUGGGUGCUCCGCGAUGCAUGCGCCGGUGUGCGCGAUUUGAUCCGUGGAAGCCACUGUGUGAUCGUCCCGUGGUGUGACCAACUCAAGGUGUUGUGCCAUCCUUCGGUUGGGGGUUCUUCACCCACUGCGGCAUGA
This 957-nucleotide ribosomal RNA is filed under the name Triticum aestivum (bread wheat). RNAcentral's name for it is "partial small subunit ribosomal RNA". Lineage: Eukaryota; Viridiplantae; Streptophyta; Magnoliopsida; Poales; Poaceae. The record is from RNAcentral.